AAGAUCUUACUUGAAUAUGAUCUAUUUUAUUGGCUCAUAUCAUUGUGUUCUUAAGUUCUAAGGAAACCCAAAGCCAAGUCAGGUUGAUGAGGCAUGGUCAUGGGACUAGAGUGUGAUUAACAACGUCAAUGACUUCUAGAGUUGUAGAGCAGUAGAAGAUCAUUCUGAUAGACG
This 174-nucleotide small nucleolar RNA is filed under the name Nicotiana attenuata. RNAcentral's name for it is "snoRNA Plant_U3". The record is from RNAcentral. Lineage: Eukaryota; Viridiplantae; Streptophyta; Magnoliopsida; Solanales; Solanaceae.